Molecule: ribosomal RNA, 253 nt
Filed under: uncultured bacterium
Lineage: Bacteria
Description: partial 16S ribosomal RNA
Rfam family: Bacterial small subunit ribosomal RNA
Source: RNAcentral
GACAGAGGGGGCAAGCGUUGCUCGGAAUUACUGGGCGUAAAGGGCGCGUAGGCGGGCCGGCAAGUCGGUUGUGAAAUCCUCCGGCUCAACCGGAGAACGUCGAUCGAUACUGCCGUUCUUGAGGGUUGCAGAGGAGACUGGAAUUCCCGGUGUAGCGGUGAAAUGUGUAGAGAUCGGGAGGAACACCGGUGGCGAAGGCGGGUCUCUGGGCAAUUCCUGACGCUGAGGCGCGAAAGCGUGGGGAGCAAACGGG